This is a non-coding RNA of Salarias fasciatus (jewelled blenny), 73 nucleotides long. Lineage: Eukaryota; Metazoa; Chordata; Actinopteri; Blenniiformes; Blenniidae. The record is from the annotation of a RefSeq genome assembly.
AGGUCUGUAGUGGAGUGGUCAUCACAUCAGCUUCACAUGCAGAAGAUCCUGGGUUCAACCCCCAGCAGAGCUG